Molecule: ribosomal RNA, 517 nt
Filed under: uncultured bacterium
Lineage: Bacteria
Description: bacterial SSU rRNA
Rfam family: Bacterial small subunit ribosomal RNA
Source: RNAcentral
CCUGACGCAGCAACGCCGCGUGAAGGAUGAAGGGUUUCGGCUCGUAAACUUCUAUCAAUAGGGAAGAAAGAAAUGACGGUACCUAAAUAAGAAGCCCCGGCUAACUACGUGCCAGCAGCCGCGGUAAUACGUAGGGGGCAAGCGUUAUCCGGAAUUACUGGGUGUAAAGGGAGCGUAGGCGGCAUGGUAAGCCAGAUGUGAAAGCCUUGGGCUUAACCCGAGGAUUGCAUUUGGAACUAUCAAGCUAGAGUACAGGAGAGGAAAGCGGAAUUCCUAGUGUAGCGGUGAAAUGCGUAGAUAUUAGGAAGAACACCAGUGGCGAAGGCGGCUUUCUGGACUGAAACUGACGCUGAGGCUCGAAAGCGUGGGGAGCAAACAGGAUUAGAUACCCUGGUAGUCCACGCCGUAAACGAUGAGUGCUAGGUGUCGGGGAGGAAUCCUCGGUGCCGCAGCUAACGCAAUAAGCACUCCACCUGGGGAGUACGACCGCAAGGUUGAAACUCAAAGGAAUUGACGG